This 301-nucleotide ribosomal RNA is filed under the name uncultured bacterium. RNAcentral's name for it is "partial 16S ribosomal RNA". It matches the Rfam family "Bacterial small subunit ribosomal RNA", at positions 509 to 807 of the family's 1533-position model. The record is from RNAcentral.
CAGCCGCCACGGGAAUACGAAGGGUGCAAGCGUUAAUCGGAAUUACUGGGCGUUAAGCGCACGCAGGCGGUUUGUUAAGUCAGAUGUGAAAUCCCCGAGCUUAACUUGGGAACUGCAUUUGAAACUGGCAAGCUAGAGUCUUGUAGAGGGGGGUAGAAUUCCAGGUGUAGCGGUGAAAUGCGUAGAGAUCUGGAGGAAUACCGGUGGCGAAGGCGGCCCCCUGGACAAAGACUGACGCUCAGGUGCGAAAGCGUAGGGAGCAAACAGGAUUAGAUACCCCAGUAGUCCCUGUCUCUUAUAC